This 870-nucleotide ribosomal RNA is filed under the name Rhizoctonia silvestris. RNAcentral describes it as "LSU rRNA". It matches the Rfam family "Eukaryotic large subunit ribosomal RNA", at positions 37 to 934 of the family's 3401-position model. The record is from RNAcentral. Lineage: Eukaryota; Fungi; Basidiomycota; Agaricomycetes; Cantharellales; Ceratobasidiaceae.
AGCAUAUCAAUAAGCGGAGGAAAAGAAACCAACAGGGAUUGCCUCAGUAACGGCGAGUGAAGCGGCAACAGCUCAAAUUUGAAAGCUGCCAACAGGCCGCGUUGUAAUUUGUAGAAGCUGCUUUGGGUGUCGGCCCGGUCUAAGUUCCUUGGAACAGGACGUCAUAGAGGGUGAGAAUCCCGUAUGUGAUCGGUGCCGGUGCCCGUGUAAAGCGCUUUCGACGAGUCGAGUUGUUUGGGAAUGCAGCUCAAAAUGGGUGGUAAAUUUCAUCUAAAGCUAAAUAUUGGCCAGAGACCGAUAGCGCACAAGUAGAGUGAUCGAAAGAUGAAAAGCACUUUGGAAAGAGAGUUAAACAGUACGUGAAAUUGUUGAAAGGGAAGCGCUUGCAACCAGACUUGCGGGCGGUCGAUCAUCCGAGGUUCUCCCCGGUGCACUCGAUCGUUCUCAGGCCAGCAUCGGUUUCCGGGGUGGGAUAAAGGCGGUGGAAAUGUGGCUCUUCGGAGUGUUAUAGCCCACCGUGCAAUGCCGCCACUGGGGACCGAGGACCGCGCUUCGGCUAGGAUGCUGGCGUAAUGGUUGUAAGCGACCCGUCUUGAAACACGGACCAAGGAGUCUAACAUCUAUGCGAGUGUUUGGGUGUCAAACCCAUACGCGGAAUGAAAGUGAACGGAGGUAAGAGCCCUUUAGGGUGCAUUAUCGACCGAUCCUGAUGUCUUCGGAUGGAUUUGAGUAAGAGCAUAGCUGUUGGGACCCGAAAGAUGGUGAACUAUGCGUGAAUAGGGUGAAGCCAGAGGAAACUCUGGUGGAGGCUCGCAGCGGUUCUGACGUGCAAAUCGAUCGUCAAAUUUGCGUAUAGGGGCGAAAGACUAA